Molecule: long non-coding RNA, 203 nt
Filed under: Elaeis guineensis (African oil palm)
Lineage: Eukaryota; Viridiplantae; Streptophyta; Magnoliopsida; Arecales; Arecaceae
Description: long non-coding RNA (EGUI_LNC042987)
Source: RNAcentral
GGGCCAGUAAUCAUGGGAUCUUGAUUCGGGUUCAACUCUUAAUCCAAUCAAAAUUUUUAAUUAUCAUAUAGGUACAACUCUUAACCUAAUGUUAAUUAAGUCAAUUGUAUGUCACCUAUUGACUUAAGUUAAUCAACUCUUAAACAAAUCAUAAUUCAAGUAGGUUUGUAAAGAUUUAGUCAAUUAUGACUCAAAUCCUAAUC